AGAGUUUGAUCCUGGCUCAGAUUGAACGCUGGCGGCAGGCCUAACACAUGCAAGUCGAGCGGUAACAGAACUAGCUUGCUAGUUGCUGACGAGCGGCGGACGGGUGCGUAACACGUAGGAAUCUACCCAGUAGCGGGGGAUAGCCCGGAGAAAUCCGGAUUAAUACCGCAUACGCCUUACGAGGGAAAGCAGGGGCUUCUUCGGAACCUUGCACUAUUGGAUGAGCCUGCGUCGGAUUAGCUAGUUGGUGGGGUAAAGGCCUACCAAGGCCACGAUCCGUUGCUGGUCUGAGAGGAUGAUCAGCCACACUGGGACUGAGACACGGCCCAGACUCCUACGGGAGGCAGCAGUGGGGAAUAUUGCACAAUGGGCGCAAGCCUGAUGCAGCCAUGCCGCGUGUGUGAAGAAGGCUCUAGGGUUGUAAAGCACUUUCAGCGAGGAGGAAAGGUUGACGAUUAAUACUCGUCAGCUGUGACGUUACUCGCAGAAGAAGCACCGGCUAACUCCGUGCCAGCAGCCGCGGUAAUACGGAGGGUGCGAGCGU
This 544-nucleotide ribosomal RNA is filed under the name uncultured Gammaproteobacteria bacterium. Its description in RNAcentral is "SSU rRNA". It matches the Rfam family "Bacterial small subunit ribosomal RNA", at positions 8 to 541 of the family's 1533-position model. The record is from RNAcentral. Lineage: Bacteria; Pseudomonadati; Pseudomonadota; Gammaproteobacteria.